RNAcentral lists this long non-coding RNA (860 nucleotides) under Rattus norvegicus (Norway rat). RNAcentral describes it as "long non-coding RNA NONRATT016130". Lineage: Eukaryota; Metazoa; Chordata; Mammalia; Rodentia; Muridae. The record is from RNAcentral.
CACACACACCUUUUCCUUAAGAUUUCUUUUUCUUAAAGAACUAUGAAAUAAAAUGAUAACUGAAAAGUAUGACUGACAAAGGUUGGAGCAAUGGUUUAGUGGUUAAGAGCACUUACUGCUCCUCUAGAGGACCUGGGUUUAUUCCCAGUGCCCACAUCAGCUGCUCACAUCAUCAGGGAAUCUCCCGCCUGCUGGCUUUCACUAAGACCUGCAUUUCAGUGGUGCACAAAAACUCACAUAGAAAGACAGACAGGCAGGCAGGCAGGCAGGCACGCGGGCAUGCAGACAAACACACACACACACCCUAACAAAGAAAUAGUCUUUUUAAAAAUAAAUGAAAAAUCAAUCAAAAAGACUUUAUUUUGACACCAUUGAAAAAUAUUAAACAAAUCACACACUGUCUAGAUUUCCUUACCAAAAGAAACAAAACUUACUAGAUCUUCAUACCACUGUUAUCUGCCGUGGGGGUAGUCAUUUAACCUAGGAGCCUCAAGGCCUUUAAAUGCUUUAUUCAUCAAGAAAUUAAAACUCAGUCUGGAUGUUUCCAGCAGGGUGUGUAUGGAGGGGCUUGUUAGUACAGGAAGUGGUUACAAACCUCCUGGCUUGGCUGUGGGAACAAGGGGGAAAAGCUAUUCUUCAAACCCCACGAGGCUGAACUUCUACAACAUCCCAGUUCCCGUGUCAGGUGACGCUGCCCUACACACACAGCUGCCAGCCACCUGGUCAAACUCUUUGCUCUCUGCGGCACCACCUGUCAUCCUACUGCUAAACUGACCCUAAGAGUGAAAAGUCACACUCAAUAUGACCUGUCCUCUGCCACUCUAAAACCUCUGGUUUAAUAUUAAAAUAGAAUAAAAACA